CAAGAGGAUCGGCGUCGGCGGCUGCGGUUGCGUAUCCUCCGGAGACGAGAAGGAGCGGAUCAGGACCUCGUUUGGGAGAGGAGGAGCGUUGAUAUGUUUUUUUUAUUUGAGUGAUUUUUUGUCGAUAGAUAGAUUAGAACCAGUGAUACACGGGUGUUGGGAGGUGCCAAGUGCUCGGAGUACAGAUUCCGUUUCUAGGGGGAGACGCUGACGGAGACGAGUCACGACAGGAGUCAAUCAGAUAGCUCAGAGCGAUUUAAUCUAACGGCGCAGGAGGCGACGCCCAGCGCUGGCCUUUAUUAAGCGGCGGAGACGGGCUACCGGCUGCAUCCUGAGCUAACCCUAAUACCUCCUUCCCCUCAUCGCCGCCGCCGCCGCCGCCACCGCCACCGCUGCGAUGUCUUCUGAGCCUCUACCCGCCUCCACAGAGGCUCUCGAGGCAGAUCUCUCCGCCGCUACGAUCAGCAAGAAGCAGCUUAACAAGGAGGCCCGGAAGGCCGCAAAGGCAGCGAAGGCAGAAAACGCAGGGAAGGCCGAAAAGUCUCAGGCGGAAGAAGAAGACGACCCCUUUGCGGUCAACUACGGUGACGUUCCACUCGAGGAGAUCCAGUCCAAGGUCAUCUCCGGCCGGUCCUGGACGGACAUCGGCGACCUCGAUGAGGCCGCCGUGGGCCGCUCCGUCCUGAUCCGCGGAUAUGCGGAGAAGUUCCGCCCGGUCUGCAAGAAGAUCGCUUUCGUCGUGCUUCGCCAGAGCAUGACCACCGUGCAGUGUGUGCUCGUCGCUAGCGCCGACACCGGCGUCAGCACGCAGAUGGUGCGCUUUGCCACCUCCCUCAGCAAGGAGAGCAUCGUUGACGUCGAGGGCGUCGUCUCCCUACCCAAGGACCCCCUCAAGGCUACAACGCAGCAGGUGGAGAUUCAGGUCAGGAAGGUCUACUGCAUUAGCAGGGCAAUCCCUACACUUCCAAUCAACCUCGAGGAUGCAGCCCGUAGUGAAGCAGAAUUUGACCUGGCUGAGCGGACAGGAGAGAAGCUGGCGCGUGUUCACCAGGAGUCACGGUUGAACUAUCGAGUUAUCGAUCUGCGGACACCCACAAGUCAAUCUGUCUUCCGUAUCAAAUUCGAAGUUGAAAAUGCAUUCAGACAAUAUUUGUCCUCAAAGGGCUUUAUUGGGAUCCACACUCCCAGGUUGAUUUCUGGAUCAAGUGAAGGUGGUGCAGCCGUAUUCAAGCUACAGUACUAUGGCCAGGAUGCUUGUUUAGCUCAAUCUCCUCAGUUAUACAAGCAGAUGAGUCUCUGUGGUGGGUUCGGUCGUGUGUUUGAGGUUGGUCCCAUAUUUUGAGCAGAGAAUUCUAACACCCACAGGCAUCUGUCCGAGUUUAUUGGGUUGGAUGCAGAAAUGGAGAUUAAGGAGCACUACUUUGAGGUUUGUGAUAUUGUUGAUGGCUUAUUCCUAGAAAUAUUCAAACACUUGAAGGAAAAUUGUAAGCAUACACUUGAGGCAGUAAAUAAGCAGUAUCCAUUUGAACCACUGCAGUACCUAGAGAAAACCUUGAAGCUAACGUACGAGGAAGGGAUUCAAAUGCUGAAGGAAUCUGGAACUGAAAUUGAGCCUAUGGGUGACCUCAACACCGAAGCUGAGAAAAAACUUGGUCUCCUUGUUAAGGAGAAGUAUGGGACAGAAUUUUUCAUUCUCUAUCGGUAUCCUUUGGCUGUGCGCCCUUUCUACACCAUGCCUUGCUAUGAUGACCCUGCUUACAGCAACUCUUUUGAUGUCUUCAUGCGAGGCGAGGAAAUUAUUUCUGGAGCUCAAAGAGUGCACACGCCUGAGUUGCUGAGGAAACGUGCAAUCGAGUGUGGAAUUGAUGCGAGUACUAUAUCAUCAUACAUUGAAUCAUUCAGUUAUGGCGCCCCUCCUCACGGUGGUUUCGGUGUGGGGCUGGAGAGAGUGGUGAUGCUUUUCUGCGGCCUCAACAAUGUCAGGAAGACAUCUUUUUUCCCUCGUGACCCACAGAGGCUCACGCCAUAAAGUUUCUUUUGCUGUUUUCUGGGACAGAGAGCUUGUGUGUCAGGCCCUGAUAUAUAUCUGUCGUAGUUCAGUAAGCUACUAGUAAUGAUUCAGUUAUCCAACGGCUGGGAUCAAUCUGAGGCGAUAGACUCAUCUCGACCGUUGAGCGUUAACAGUAGUAAAUAGAGAGUUACUGUUUUUCCCGUUCGGGUUAAAACCCUCCCCUAUAACUAGCCGGGUUGUGGCUGGAUGGAAUAUGCUUUUCAGAUGAAUUCUCUCUAUCGCCGUCAUGGCUAAUAUACAGGAACCCUAGCGCUUCUCUCUC
Molecule: RNA transcript, 2333 nt
Organism: Triticum aestivum (bread wheat)
Lineage: Eukaryota; Viridiplantae; Streptophyta; Magnoliopsida; Poales; Poaceae
Gene name: aspartate--tRNA ligase 2, cytoplasmic-like
Exons: 10
Source: RefSeq, a predicted model, not a curated record